AUGCCUGUUAGAGAGAAAGAAACAAGGGAUGAAGCCGCCAGCUCAGCCCAGCCUGUCACCCUGAAUCCUGACCUCUUUUCUUAAAUGGCAGCAUUUACACCGUCUUCCACAGCAGAAGACCUCUCUGAAGUUGGACCUCAGGUUUCCCACAGUGCUCCUUCAAUGGGGCAAGUCAAUGUAAUUCAUGGGAGAUCCAUGCUUUCUCUGGAGAAGCAAUACUGCCCUGCCUAGAAGAUUAUCCUCAGAGUUAAAUAAAGUCUCUCAGGUAUCCUGUUCCACUCUUAGGAAGAUUUAUGGAGGUCACAUCUCACCCAGCAAAGAGAGACCUAGAUGCGAAUCUUGCUACAAGCCACAAUUUUACUGGCUGUAAAAGGGGAGAAUAAUAACAGUUCCUUCCUCAAAGAAUAUGGUGGAGAGUAGACGAGAUACGUGGAUAUAAGUUUCCUAACACAAGUGAUGAACCGGAGUCCCAACACAGAUCCUGGCUGGAGGAUCUGAUUUCAGAAUCAUGGAAGAAAUGAGAUAAAUGACGCAGAAUUUCAGAAGCAAAAUCUGAAAGAAGUUACCUUGCACAAGGCAGUUCUGUAAUAGUGGCAAAGGACUCUGUUGUUACACGGCUCACUUGUCAAAAUUGACACAGUACAUGAGAGGAAGUCGAUACUAACUGAUGGAACGUCAAUUGAUUUACAGUAAGCAGAAGAAGACAGGGAAAACCAGUUAAUAGCUCUGCAGAGCAGCAGGAGUUUUGGAAAUUAUCUACAAGACUACAGAUACAUAUAUAUAAUAAACUGAGAGCUGAAAUUAAAAGUAUGGGAAACACCCAGUUUAAAUACUGCAAACUCUUCAAUCCGCACUAAGAAUAUUUUCUAGUAUACAGCUUUAUUGAGAUAUAAUUCACGUGUCAUACAAGGCACCCAUUUAAAGUGUCCAAUUCAAUGGGUUUCGGUACACUCACAGAUUUGAAUCAUCACAAUGAAAUUUUUCAAACAUUUCAUUAACCCCUCCCCCCCGCAAAGAAACCCAUACCCAUUAUCAGUCAUUCAUUCUUCACCCCCCUCCUCUGGCACCCCUUCUCCGCAUGGUUCUAGGCAACCACCAACCUAUAAUCUGUGUCUUUAGAUUCACCUAUUCUGGACAUUUCACAUAAAUGAAAUCAUACAAUUUGUGCUACAGGUACUCAUUUAAUGGACAGCCACACUUGCAAUUAAUCUCCUCAAACGUUUCAAAUGCAAACAUUUUAAAUUACUCACACAAUGAAGCAAUCAAGCCUUCGGAAUCUGCGAUGUUUCCUACGAAAGACAAGUAGACAAAAGGGCCUUCCUGGAGAGAAAAUGAAAACAUGCUCUAAUUCAGCAUCACAACCACAGGAUGGCACCGGAGAUACACGGCUUCACAUGGCCACGUCCCCAGGAGCCCACCUCCUGGUCUGCUCCCUCUGAACAUCGUACCUGCAAGCACCUACACAAGCCGGUGGGGUGCGAUCCUAGAGACUGAUGCCCAGGCCUUGCAGACAGAGGGAAUGUUUAUAUAAUAAAUGCUGUUUUUCAAUGA
This is a long non-coding RNA of Lynx canadensis (Canada lynx), 1551 nucleotides long. RefSeq lists it as uncharacterized. The record is from RefSeq and is a predicted model, not a curated record. The transcript has 2 exons. Lineage: Eukaryota; Metazoa; Chordata; Mammalia; Carnivora; Felidae.